Molecule: non-coding RNA, 1387 nt
Organism: Struthio camelus australis
Lineage: Eukaryota; Metazoa; Chordata; Aves; Struthioniformes; Struthionidae
Source: RefSeq, a predicted model, not a curated record
GUCUUCUCUUUGAAUCCCUGAUUCAAGAAAUAUAGGAAAAAGACUGGACCAAAACUUAUGUUAGCAUGAAGAUUACUCUGGAUCUAAACCUGUGAAACUGUUUUGAUAUGCAUUGUUCAACAGUGUGAGACCACUAGGAUGCUGUAACCUUAUUUCUACCUUUUUUUUCCUGAGGAAUAAACAGAUCUCAGCUGAUGGGCAGCACUCCAGUCAAAAGUGUUCCAGAGACAGUAACUGCUAGUAACACUACUUUCCAGCAUCUGUGGGUGUCAGAUAUGCAUGAAUAAAAGGGACAGAACCAAAUUAACUGCAAGGAUGCCACAAUGUCUGAAAAGGAUCAGUCCUGGGGAAAAAGACCAGCUCAAAUUCAGCUGAGGCAAAACUGAAGUGAUACUACCUACUAUAUUUUCAUGCAUGUGUGUGUGUUUGUUUAUUUUUCUAGAAAGUGUGUUUCUUUCCUCCUAGUCAAGGACCUGACUCUGGUAAUCCACAGACCAAUCACCUUUAGGCCAUAUUAGAAAGGCUCACCCUCUGAGGAUGUUUUCACACCACAGAUAAAUUUGAAGGGCAGCAAGAAGCGUGGGGGAACAAUGAGGUAUACACACAACUCGUUUGUAGAGCAAUGGGUACUUCUUUUUAUGGGUACUUCAUGCAACAUCAGUCCCAGUUCAGUAUUCUCCAGUGCUAGCUCAAAUCCAGCUUUGAACAUCAUAGUUCUAGCCAAGACACUGCUUUUCAGGACUAAUUCAAAAAUUUAGUACUUCUCAGUUUGAGGAGUCUUUUUUCUUAUACACAGCUAUGUUUUCCUUUUUGCAGUUUAAUUCUAUUGUUAUGAAUUUCAUUUUUGCCUACCUUUCUGUUUCUCUUUAUACAAGAAACUCGGAAGCCACGAGAACUCCAGCAUUUUCUUAGCUCAUUUUGUCCUGAGGCAAUCCUAUCCAAAUGCUUGACGUUGCUCAGCAGUUUAGCUCUGUAAUUUCAGAGAACAAUCCUCACGUUUCUCAAGUGGAUGAGAAGAUACUCCAGACAUUGCCAUCAGCCUCUUGAGUGAGACACAAACUGAGGUCAGAAGGAAAAAAGCUGGCAGCUGAAUUAGCUGUGUCUUAGCAUUGUUACACUUUGGAACUAAUAAAUGACACGUGGUGUACAAACGCAGAAGCCACUCAGCAAAUUAAGUUUGCAAAAGGGAAUAAGUAAAAAGGAAGGAGGCAUGGUUAACCUCCUAACCCUACUGUUCCUUUGUUUUAGUACAAUCUGUUCUGGACCAAGCUCUGCAUUUUUUUAAAUGAUGUUUCCAUUGACUAUGUAAAUAUAUAGUUUAUUAAGAAAUAUAAUUUAGCUGAAGAUUAAAAGAAGCAGUUUAAGAGUUGCAAGUACAAACAGUGAA